UCUAAGUUUGAUGGCGACCGGCGCACGGGUGAGUAACACGUAUCCAACCUGCCGAUAACUCGGGGAUAGCCUUUCGAAAGAAAGAUUAAUACCCGAUGGCAUAAUAGAACCGCAUGGUUUGAUUAUUAAAGAAUUUCGGUUAUCGAUGGGGAUGCGUUCCAUUAGGCAGUUGGUGGGGUAACGGCCCACCAAACCUUCGAUGGAUAGAGGUUCUGAGAGGAAGGUCCCCCACAUUGGAACUGAGACACGGUCCAAACUCCUACGGGAGGCAGCAUG
This 276-nucleotide ribosomal RNA is filed under the name uncultured bacterium. RNAcentral describes it as "partial 16S ribosomal RNA". It matches the Rfam family "Bacterial small subunit ribosomal RNA", at positions 78 to 353 of the family's 1533-position model. The record is from RNAcentral.